CCUACGGGAGGCAGCAGUGGGGAAUAUUGGGCAAUGGGCGCAAGCCUGACCCAGCAACGCCGCGUGCAGGAAGAAGGCUUUCGGGUUGUAAACUUCUUUUAAGAGGGAAGAGCAGAAGACGGUACCUCUUGAAUAAGCCACGGCUAACUACGUGCCAGCAGCCGCGGUAAUACGUAGGUGGCAAGCGUUGUCCGGAUUUACUGGGUGGAAAGGGCGUGUAGCCGGGCUGACAAGUCAGAUGUGAAAUCCGGGGGCUCAACCCCCGAACUGCAUUUGAAAAGGUUGGUCUUGAGUAUCGGAGAGGCAGGCGGAAUUCCUAGGGUAGCGGUGAAAUGCGUAGAUAUUAGGAGGAACACCAGUGGCGAAGGCGGCCUGCUGGACGACAACUGACGGUGAGGCGCGAAAGCGUGGGGAGCAAACAGGAGUAGAUACCCUUGUAGUC
This 442-nucleotide ribosomal RNA is filed under the name uncultured bacterium. RNAcentral describes it as "partial 16S ribosomal RNA". It matches the Rfam family "Bacterial small subunit ribosomal RNA", at positions 338 to 795 of the family's 1533-position model. The record is from RNAcentral.